Molecule: non-coding RNA, 71 nt
Organism: Sciurus carolinensis (gray squirrel)
Lineage: Eukaryota; Metazoa; Chordata; Mammalia; Rodentia; Sciuridae
Source: the annotation of a RefSeq genome assembly
UCAUGGUUCAGUUGGUAGAGUGUUUGCCUUACAAGCACAAGGUCCUGGGUUCAAGUCCCAGCACUGCAAAA